Molecule: ribosomal RNA, 395 nt
Filed under: uncultured bacterium
Lineage: Bacteria
Description: partial 16S ribosomal RNA
Rfam family: Bacterial small subunit ribosomal RNA
Source: RNAcentral
AUACGCAGGGGGCGAGCGUUGUCCGGAAUGAUUGGGCGUAAAGGGCGCGUAGGCGGCCCGGUAAGUCUGGAGUGAAAGUCCUGUUUUUAAGAUGGGAAUUGCUUUGGAUACUGUCGGGCUUGAGUGCAGGAGAGGUAAGUGGAAUUCCCAGUGUAGCGGCGAAAUGCGUAGAGAUUGGGAGGAAUACCGGUGGCGAAGGCGGUCAUCUGGCUCAUUAUUGACGCUGAAGCACGAAAGCGUAGGUAGCGAACAGGAUUAGAUACCCUGGUAGUCUACGCUGUAAACGAUGUAUGCUUGGUGUUAUGCGUUUAUGCGCGUAGUGCCGUAGGAAAUCUGGUAAGCAUACCACCUGGGGAGUACGAAUGCAAGUUUGAAACUCAAAUGAAUUGACGGGG